This 360-nucleotide ribosomal RNA is filed under the name uncultured bacterium. Its description in RNAcentral is "bacterial SSU rRNA". It matches the Rfam family "Bacterial small subunit ribosomal RNA", at positions 28 to 385 of the family's 1533-position model. The record is from RNAcentral.
GACGAACGCUGGCGGCGUGCUUAAUACAUGCAAGUCAACUUGACUUCAGAUAGCAAUAUCGAAAAGUAGGGUGGCGCACGGGUGCGUAACGCGUAGGUAAUCUGCCCUGAGGUCUGACAUAACCCGUCGAAAGGCGGGCUAACAUCAGAUGAUAUAUAAUCACGACAUCGUGGAAAUAUCAAAAUCUUCGGAGCCUUGGGAUGAGCCUGCGUCUGAUUAGGUAGUUGGCGGAGUAAUAGCCCACCAAGCCUACGAUCAGUAGCUGGUCUGAGAGGAUGAUCAGCCACACUGGAACUGAGACACGGUCCAGACUCCUACGGGAGGCAGCAGUAAGGAAUAUUGCUCAAUGGGGAAACCCGU